Molecule: ribosomal RNA, 495 nt
Filed under: uncultured bacterium
Lineage: Bacteria
Description: bacterial SSU rRNA
Rfam family: Bacterial small subunit ribosomal RNA
Source: RNAcentral
AAAGGAAUUGACGGGGGCCCGCACAAGCAGUGGAGCAUGUGGUUUAAUUCGAAGCAACGCGAAGAACCUUACCGGGGUUUGACAUCCGGCGAAUUUGGUAGAGAUACCGAAGUGCCCUUUUGGGAGCGUCGAGACAGGUGGUGCAUGGUUGUCGUCAGCUCGUGUCGUGAGAUGUUGGGUUAAGUCCCGCAACGAGCGCAACCCCUGUUCAUAGUUGCCAUCAUUAAGUUGGGCACUCUAUGGAGACUGCCGCAGAGAAUGCGGAGGAAGGUGGGGAUGACGUCAAAUCAUCAUGCCCCUUAUAUCCCGGGCUACACACGUGCUACAAUGGCCUGUACAGCGGGGUGCGAAGGAGCGAUCCCGAGCCAAUCCCACAAAGCAGGUCCCAGUUCGGAUUGCAGGCUGCAACCCGCCUGCAUGAAGCCGGAAUUGCUAGUAAUCGCGGAUCAUCAUGCCGCGGUGAAUACGUUCCCGGGCCUUGUACACACCGCCCGU